Molecule: long non-coding RNA, 600 nt
Organism: Equus quagga
Lineage: Eukaryota; Metazoa; Chordata; Mammalia; Perissodactyla; Equidae
Exons: 3
Source: RefSeq, a predicted model, not a curated record
UAAAGGACUACAAAAGUAUUGUCCAAAUUGCCCAGGGAGGAUGUGGCCAACAUUCCUAGGUGUGUUUGCAAAAAUGGCUGAGAGACUAGGUGCAAAGUGAGGGAUGCUGGCAAAGCACGCCUGUAUUUGGAGACCAGUGGUUCCCUCCGGCCACAGGUACUUCUGAUGAAUCUCUUCCAACAGAGUAAUACACACACCUUCAAACUUAACUGCAGAGGAAGAAUCCUACGCUCAAAACCGCACAGAAUGAGUCCUAUCCAGAGAUUCAAAAACAAAAAACCUAUCAGGAAACUUUGGAAGCCCUCGUCUGUUUCAGUUUGUAGGAGUGACUGCCUUUCAGGGGAAAGAAUCUGAUGGGAAGGAUGAGAAACAAAAUAUGCUGAAAUUCAAGAACCGGACCUGAAUAACUGCCUGUGUGACUCGUCAAAGCUGAGCCCCCUCCACACAGUGAGCCGGGCCGUCACGUGGUGCCCUGCAGCCUGGGUGGAGCAUCCUGACCCCUUCACUGGAAAAAUGCGGGAAGGGCCUGUCCCCUCUCAGCUCCCCUGCCUGCGCUCUGGGUCUUUCCGACUCUGUAAAAGACAAUCAAAUAAAAAUGCU